RNAcentral lists this unclassified non-coding RNA (351 nucleotides) under Hevea brasiliensis (rubber tree). The record is from RNAcentral. Lineage: Eukaryota; Viridiplantae; Streptophyta; Magnoliopsida; Malpighiales; Euphorbiaceae.
GGAGUGCUAGGGACUCUCAUGUGCCUAUGUUGGCUCCGUUGCCAAUUGGGUUUGCGGUUUUUCUGGUUCAUCUGGCGACCAUUCCCAUCACCGGCACUGGUAUCAACCCUGCGAGGAGUCUGGGGGCAGCCAUCAUCUACAACAAGGAACAUGCUUGGGAUGACCAUUGGAUCUUCUGGGUGGGGCCUUUCAUCGGAGCUGCACUUGCUGCAGUUUAUCACGUAGUCGUCAUCAGAGCAAUUCCGUUCAAGCACAAGACAUGAGUUCUGUUUGGUAGGGUUUCACUUGGGGUACGAGUUCUGUUUGGAAGGGUUUGGGUUCUGUAUGGAGGAUUUAACUUGGUUUAUGAAU